Vigna umbellata (rice bean) is the source of this 885-nucleotide non-coding RNA. The record is from RefSeq and is a predicted model, not a curated record. NCBI's taxonomy places the organism in Eukaryota, Viridiplantae, Streptophyta, Magnoliopsida, Fabales, Fabaceae.
AGCACCAUACUGAAGGAACAAAAUAUUGAAUUGGAAAACCUACUCAGUGCGUCUCUCUCUCUCUCUCUCUCUCUCUCUCUCUCUCUCAAGUCGCAUACUGAAUCCUCCAACUCCACCAUGUUCGGCUCCGCGCGAAUCUUCUCCGACAUCGCUCUCGGCCUCCGCCAAAACCUAUCGUUUCGAGGUGUGCGCGUGCAGAACAUCAACAUCGGAGGCGGUAUGGGAGGCGAGAUCCCCGACAACAAGCGUCUGGAGUACGCUCUCCAGCACCUGCACGGAAUAGGGCGCUCGAAAGCGCACCACAUCGUCUGCGAACUUGGCGUUGAGAACAAAUUCGUCAAGGACCUCAGCAAGAGGGAACUCUAUUCCAUUCGCGAGUUGCUCUCCAAGUACUUGAUUGGAAACGAUUUGAAAAAGUGCGUUGAGAGAGAUGUGGUAAGGUUGGUGGGCAUUCAGUGCUACCGAGGGAUCAGGCAUGUGGAUAACUUACCCUGCCGUGGACAGAGGACUCAUACGAAUGCACGCACUAGGAGGAGCCGGAAAACUUUCUCUGGAUCGAGAUAGGUACCGCUUGAGAAACAGAUGAGUCUGAGAUGAUGAAAUAAGUUUUGUUAGAGACUUAGCUGGUUUAAGUGAAAUCAAUGUUGAGAUUUACAUGUUCAAUAUGCCUUUGGCGGGUUCAUCUUUUCAUUGCAAGAGCUUUAAUGGUCUUAUUCUGCAUUUUGCUUUGUUGCAGUGCAAAAUUUCAAAUAAAUGUAAAUGAUGCCAUUGCAAUUGUGGUCUGCCAGAGGUUAUCGAUAUCCAAAAAGCCUUCGUUUUAGGACUCUGAAAUUGUGGUUGCAAAUUAUUUAUAAAGCCUUGAUGUUGGUGUUACUGAUGUGAUCA